AAGAAUUGACUUUCCAGCAGCUCUCAAAACAUGCAGUUACACUCCUCAGACAAGCAUUAAUCAGUGGCCAUCAUCUCACAGAGAUACUGUGGUGUUGUCUGGAAUGAAACUGGAAAGAUGCUUCUCUGUGUCCAUAUGUAAUGGUGAUGGGUAGGGGAUUAAAAUAUUUGAAAAUCACCGAAUUGAGAACAUCAUUAUGUUGUCGUGUUCAAGGACCAAUGCCAAAUGGAAAGUCAGAAACUAGAGCUGAAGAGCUAUCCAUCUUUCAAGUUGCUUGAUGUUUUUGGAAUCGGUGGAGAGUUCAACAUCUGGCUUUCCCCCAGUUAAGUAUCUCUCUUUUCUGUUUUGGAACUUAAUGGAUGAGCUAAAUAGAAAGGAGAAAAAUACAGAA
Molecule: long non-coding RNA, 391 nt
Filed under: Sus scrofa (pig)
Lineage: Eukaryota; Metazoa; Chordata; Mammalia; Artiodactyla; Suidae
Description: lncRNA (ENSSSCG00060063095.1)
Source: RNAcentral